RNAcentral lists this ribosomal RNA (2939 nucleotides) under Priestia megaterium. Its description in RNAcentral is "23S ribosomal RNA". It matches the Rfam family "Bacterial large subunit ribosomal RNA". Lineage: Bacteria; Bacillati; Bacillota; Bacilli; Caryophanales; Bacillaceae. The record is from RNAcentral.
AUGGUUAAGUUAGAAAGGGCGCACGGUGAAUGCCUUGGCACUAGGAGCCGAUGAAGGACGGGACUAACACCGAUAUGCUUCGGGGAGCUGUAAGUGAGCUUUGAUCCGGAGAUUUCCGAAUGGGGAAACCCACUGUUCGUAAUGGAACAGUAUCUUUAUCUGAAUACAUAGGAUAUUGAAGGCAGACCCGGGGAACUGAAACAUCUAAGUACCCGGAGGAAGAGAAAGCAAAUGCGAUUUCCUGAGUAGCGGCGAGCGAAACGGAAUUAGCCCAAACCAAGAGGCUUGCCUCUUGGGGUUGUAGGACACUCUAUACGGAGUUACAAAGGAACGAAGUAAAUGAAGCGACCUGGAAAGGUCCGUCGAAGAAGGUAACAACCCUGUAGUUGAAACUUCGUUCCCUCUUGAGUGGAUCCUGAGUACGGCGGAACACGUGAAAUUCCGUCGGAAGCUGGGAGGACCAUCUCCCAAGGCUAAAUACUACCUAGUGACCGAUAGUGAACCAGUACCGUGAGGGAAAGGUGAAAAGCACCCCGGAAGGGGGAGUGAAAGAGAUCCUGAAACCGUGUGCCUACAAGUAGUCAGAGCCCGUUAAUGGGUGAUGGCGUGCCUUUGUAGAAUGAACCGGCGAGUUACGAUCCCAUGCAAGGUUAAGCUGAUAAGGCGGAGCCGUAGCGAAAGCGAGUCUGAAUAGGGCGUUUAGUAUGUGGUUGUAGACCCGAAACCAGGUGAUCUACCCAUGUCCAGGGUGAAGUUCAGGUAACACUGAAUGGAGGCCCGAACCCACGCACGUUGAAAAGUGCGGGGAUGAGGUGUGGGUAGCGGAGAAAUUCCAAUCGAACCUGGAGAUAGCUGGUUCUCUCCGAAAUAGCUUUAGGGCUAGCCUCAUGUUGUGAGAGUCUUGGAGGUAGAGCACUGAUUGGACUAGGGGCCCCCAACGGGUUACCGAAUUCAGUCAAACUCCGAAUGCCAAAGACUUAUCCAUGGGAGUCAGACUGCGAGUGAUAAGAUCCGUAGUCAAAAGGGAAACAGCCCAGACCACCAGCUAAGGUCCCCAAGUAUACGUUAAGUGGAAAAGGAUGUGGAGUUGCUUAGACAACCAGGAUGUUGGCUUAGAAGCAGCCACCAUUUAAAGAGUGCGUAAUAGCUCACUGGUCGAGUGACUCUGCGCCGAAAAUGUACCGGGGCUAAACGUAUCACCGAAGCUGUGGAUUGACAUCUUUGAUGUCAGUGGUAGGAGAGCGUUCUAAGUGCUGUGAAGUCAGACCGUAAGGACUGGUGGAGCGCUUAGAAGUGAGAAUGCCGGUAUGAGUAGCGAAAGACAAGUGAGAAUCUUGUCCACCGAAUGCCUAAGGUUUCCUGAGGAAGGCUCGUCCGCUCAGGGUUAGUCGGGACCUAAGCCGAGGCUGAAAAGCGUAGGCGAUGGCCAACAGGUUGAUAUUCCUGUACCACCUCCCCGCCGUUUGAGUAAUGGGGGGACGCAGUAGGAUAGGGUAAGCGCGCUGCUGGAUAUGCGCGUUCAAGCAGUUAGGCUGAUGAGUAGGCAAAUCCGCUCAUCAUAAAGGCUGAGCUGUGAUGACGAGGGAAUUAUAGUACCGAAGUUCCUGAUUCCACACUGCCAAGAAAAGCCUCUAGCGAGGCGGGAGGUGCCCGUACCGCAAACCGACACAGGUAGGCGAGGAGAGAAUCCUAAGGUGAUCGAGAGAACUCUCGUUAAGGAACUCGGCAAAAUGACCCCGUAACUUCGGGAGAAGGGGUGCUCUGGUAGGGUGUAUAGCCCGAGAGAGCCGCAGUGAAUAGGCCCAGGCGACUGUUUAGCAAAAACACAGGUCUCUGCGAAGCCGCAAGGCGAAGUAUAGGGGCUGACGCCUGCCCGGUGCUGGAAGGUUAAGAGGAGGGGUUAUCCUUUGGGAGAAGCUCUGAAUCGAAGCCCCAGUAAACGGCGGCCGUAACUAUAACGGUCCUAAGGUAGCGAAAUUCCUUGUCGGGUAAGUUCCGACCCGCACGAAAGGCGUAACGAUCUGGGCACUGUCUCAACGAGAGACUCGGUGAAAUUAUAGUACCUGUGAAGAUGCAGGUUACCCGCGACAGGACGGAAAGACCCCGUGGAGCUUUACUGUAGCCUGAUAUUGAAUUUUGGUACAGCUUGUACAGGAUAGGUAGGAGCCUGAGAAGCCGGAGCGCUAGCUUCGGUGGAGGCGUCGGUGGGAUACUACCCUGGCUGUAUUGAAAUUCUAACCCGCGGCCCUGAUCGGGCCGGGAGACAGUGUCAGGUGGGCAGUUUGACUGGGGCGGUCGCCUCCUAAAAUGUAACGGAGGCGCCCAAAGGUUCCCUCAGAAUGGUUGGAAAUCAUUCGUAGAGUGUAAAGGCACAAGGGAGCUUGACUGCGAGACCUACAAGUCGAGCAGGGACGAAAGUCGGGCUUAGUGAUCCGGUGGUUCCGCAUGGAAGGGCCAUCGCUCAACGGAUAAAAGCUACCCCGGGGAUAACAGGCUUAUCUCCCCCAAGAGUCCACAUCGACGGGGAGGUUUGGCACCUCGAUGUCGGCUCAUCGCAUCCUGGGGCUGUAGUCGGUCCCAAGGGUUGGGCUGUUCGCCCAUUAAAGCGGUACGCGAGCUGGGUUCAGAACGUCGUGAGACAGUUCGGUCCCUAUCCGUCGUGGGCGUAGGAAAUUUGAGAGGAGCUGUCCUUAGUACGAGAGGACCGGGAUGGACACACCGCUGGUGUACCAGUUGUCUUGCCAAAGGCAUCGCUGGGUAGCUAUGUGUGGACGGGAUAAGUGCUGAAAGCAUCUAAGCAUGAAGCCCCCCUCAAGAUGAGAUUUCCCAUAGCGCAAGCUAGUAAGAUCCCUGAAAGAUGAUCAGGUUGAUAGGUCAGAGGUGGAAGCGUGGCGACAUGUGUAGCUGACUGAUACUAAUCGAUCGAGGACUUAACCAAA